This 253-nucleotide ribosomal RNA is filed under the name uncultured bacterium. RNAcentral describes it as "partial 16S ribosomal RNA". It matches the Rfam family "Bacterial small subunit ribosomal RNA", at positions 524 to 776 of the family's 1533-position model. The record is from RNAcentral.
UACGUAGGGUGCGGGCGUUGUCCGGAAUUAUUGGGCGUAAAGAGCUUGUAGGCGGUUUGUCGCGUCUGCCGUGAAAAUCCGGGGCUCAACCCCGGACUUGCGGUGGGUACGGGCAGACUAGAGUGUGGUAGGGGAGACUGGAAUUCCUGGUGUAGCGGUGAAAUGCGCAGAUAUCAGGAGGAACACCGAUGGCGAAGGCAGGUCUCUGGGCCACUACUGACGCUGAGAAGCGAAAGCGUGGGGAGCGAACAGG